CGUCAUCGCCCCGCUCCAGAACCAAAGCGCCUUCGUCUCAGUUGCUUCACGGACUCAUUCAGCGGAGAACAGAACUGACUGACCCGGAUCUACCUACUAACCAAAGAAAUAUCCAGUUUGUGUUUAAUAAAUGGUUAAAUCUUU
Molecule: long non-coding RNA, 144 nt
Organism: Austrofundulus limnaeus
Lineage: Eukaryota; Metazoa; Chordata; Actinopteri; Cyprinodontiformes; Rivulidae
Exons: 2
Source: RefSeq, a predicted model, not a curated record